AUCCUGCUGACCGUGGCACACGGGGCAGUGGCAAGCCUGUGACCUGAGACGGCACCACCUCAGAGGGUCCCAGUGCUGGAGAGCAGGUUGGCAGACCCUGCGGCCCUUCGAUGACAUCACAGCAUUUGGAAUCACCAAGAGGUCUAGAGAUCGAGCAGGAGAAGUGAAAUCAUCACUAUUCGCAGAUGAACUAGACAUGCAGCUUCUACAGUUCACAUGGAAAAGCAAACAGGAAAGAAAGGCCGUGAAAAGAAUGAAGGAAUAGCCCUAAAAGACUUCAUGACAUACUGCAAAGCCUUGCUAAUUAAAUGAGCGUGGUCCUGGCCUGUGAACAGACUCGCAGACCCGUGAGACAGACCAGAGUCACCAGUGUGCCGACCAUGAGGGCCGUCUGGAGGCCCUGGGCACCUGGAACAAGUGUGACCUGCAGACCCUGGGUGGGGACUUGGAAUCCAUGUGCACUGAGCAUUGCUACAGGCUAAGCAAACAGCACACCACACACAGGUAACCACUCUCCAUUGUAUUUGUGUUUAGUCGAGUUUGUAUUUCUAUUGUAUUUAGAUACUGUUACACUAAAUAGAAUACAGAAUUAACUUAAAACCAUUACUGGGCUCAUGGGAAUCCUUUAGUGUUACAUAAUUUCUCCAUCAACUGGUAUAGUCAAAUCGAUGCUGGCCCUGAUAUCAGUUCCUCUAUAUUAAACCAAGCAUAUAUGAGGUUAAAACCAAAAGCACUCAUCCUUUUUCCCUGUUUCUCUAAGUUACAUUCACAUGUAGAUAUUGGUUGUGUUACAAAUUAUUAAAAGCCUGGGUGGCCUCAAGCUAGGCUCACACUGAUGUUUUGGCUAAUUACCAGUUCUUGAGGUUUGUCA
Long non-coding RNA from Diceros bicornis minor, 871 nucleotides. RefSeq lists it as uncharacterized. The transcript has 3 exons. NCBI's taxonomy places the organism in Eukaryota, Metazoa, Chordata, Mammalia, Perissodactyla, Rhinocerotidae. The record is from RefSeq and is a predicted model, not a curated record.